ACUGUCAGGUGUGUGUUUGUAAAUCGUGGAGUUGAGUUUAAUCGGCUACAUCAAGAGUAGCGUAAUGGACGCGAUUGAGAACAGGACAACUCUGUUUACAGUCAAAACUGAGUGAUGAAACUGGAAGACAAUGAAGGGCAUGGUGGAGCCAAAACAUCCAGCAGGAAAAGAACAGCAUCAUAAUCCAAGAGAUGCCCAAUUGAGAGCAUCCUGGCGAGCUGUAUCACCACC
Coregonus clupeaformis (lake whitefish) is the source of this 231-nucleotide long non-coding RNA. RefSeq lists it as uncharacterized. The record is from RefSeq and is a predicted model, not a curated record. Lineage: Eukaryota; Metazoa; Chordata; Actinopteri; Salmoniformes; Salmonidae. The transcript is spliced from 3 exons.